This 517-nucleotide ribosomal RNA is filed under the name uncultured Paenibacillus sp. RNAcentral's name for it is "partial 16S ribosomal RNA". The record is from RNAcentral. Lineage: Bacteria; Bacillati; Bacillota; Bacilli; Caryophanales; Paenibacillaceae.
CACGUAGUUAGCCGGGGCUUUCUUCUCAAGUACCGUCACUCCCGGAGCAGUGACUCUCCGGGCCGUUCUUCCUUGGCAACAGAGCUUUACGAUCCGAAGACCUUCCUCACUCACGCGGCGUUGCUCCGUCAGGCUUUCGCCCAUUGCGGAAGAUUCCCUACUGCUGCCUCCCGUAGGAGUCUGGGCCGUGUCUCAGUCCCAGUGUGGCCGAUCACCCUCUCAGGUCGGCUACGCAUCGUCGCCUUGGUAGGCCGUUACCCUGCCAACUAGCUAAUGCGCCGCAGGCCCAUCCGUAAGCCGCAGAUUGCUCCGCGUUUCUUGACUCCCCAUGCGAAGAAGCCACCUAUCCGGUAUUAGCUACCGUUUCCGGUAGUUAUCCCGGUCUUCCGGGCAGGUUGCCUACGUGUUACUCACCCGUCCGCCGCUCCGGUUGAUUCCCCGAAGGAAACCAUCCAGCGCUCGACUUGCAUGUAUUAGGCACGCCGCCAGCGUCGUCUCGUAGCACGGAGUCAACUAC